AUGGGAGGGUGCGGCGCUCGCGGGCCGAUCUGCGCCGCCAGGACUCGCCCGACCCGCGGGACGCUUGAUCCGGUGACGCACCAGUCGCCGGUCGUCGGCCAGGCCGACCGACGACGGAGAUCGCAACACCCUGCACUAUUAUUCUGCCUCAACUCAUCCUUCCUCGAUGUGUGCUGCCUGGGAGGGCGCGCGCUCGCCGCUCGACCAGAGCCACACGGCCAUCCGGUCAUCGUUGCACUCGCCGCCCCCUCUGCUCCUCCACCUCAACUUCGGACACACGUGUAUUUCUGUGCCCACCCCAUGCUACCAGAGGAAACCGCGUGCCAGUCUCUCUGGAUGACUUUUAUUUUCUGCUGA
Molecule: ribosomal RNA, 357 nt
Filed under: Triticum aestivum (bread wheat)
Lineage: Eukaryota; Viridiplantae; Streptophyta; Magnoliopsida; Poales; Poaceae
Description: partial small subunit ribosomal RNA
Source: RNAcentral